This is a long non-coding RNA of Neofelis nebulosa (Clouded leopard), 341 nucleotides long. RefSeq lists it as uncharacterized. The record is from RefSeq and is a predicted model, not a curated record. Lineage: Eukaryota; Metazoa; Chordata; Mammalia; Carnivora; Felidae. The transcript has 3 exons.
GUGGGGCGGAGGAGGCAUCGUGUGCAGAGGCAGCUGCUACUGCUGUGGCGCCUCCCAGGCGGGCGAGUGCGUGCACAAGGAUCUCCGACGUGCGGCCCGGCAUCCUCCUCCGCUGGGGCGUCUUCACCAACUACUUCUAGGGCAAGGGCAUGGCCGAGAACGCGAGCCACAAGUCCUACCGGCCGCUCUGCGUCCUCACCUUCAAGUUGAGAUUGCCUGCCUGCAAAAGUAGUUCAGCUCGGGUUUAAGAAGACUGGACCUCAAGGAAGCAUUUUAUAUGUAUCUUUUCAGAAAUUUGAUUCCACCCUCCUAAGGACCCCAGAAGAACAUGGGAUGCAGGG